GGAUUGAUGUGGAUUGCUAAUUUAAAUAGCUCAUGCUACUGUAUUGCGUGAACAGUUAACAUUUUUAUUAUUGUAUGUGGGUUUUUUUUUUGCGGGUUGCAAAUGUUCAACCAAA
Etheostoma spectabile (orangethroat darter) is the source of this 115-nucleotide long non-coding RNA. RefSeq lists it as uncharacterized. Lineage: Eukaryota; Metazoa; Chordata; Actinopteri; Perciformes; Percidae. The transcript has 3 exons. The record is from RefSeq and is a predicted model, not a curated record.